This 82-nucleotide transfer RNA is filed under the name Ornithorhynchus anatinus (platypus). It matches the Rfam family "tRNA". From Rfam's summary of the family: Transfer RNA (tRNA) molecules are approximately 80 nucleotides in length. Their secondary structure includes four short double-helical elements and three loops (D, anti-codon, and T loops). The record is from Rfam by way of RNAcentral. Lineage: Eukaryota; Metazoa; Chordata; Mammalia; Monotremata; Ornithorhynchidae.
GUUAAUUUGGCCGAGUGGUUAAGGCGAUGGACUAGAAAUCCACUGGGGUAUCUCGGCGCAGGUUCGGAUCCUGAAAACUAUG